RNAcentral lists this ribosomal RNA (87 nucleotides) under Pelomedusa galeata. RNAcentral's name for it is "partial 12S ribosomal RNA". The record is from RNAcentral. Lineage: Eukaryota; Metazoa; Chordata; Testudines; Pelomedusidae.
CCCUUUGCCAUUCAGCCUAUAUACCGCCGUCUCCAGCUUACCUUGUGAAAGCCAAAAAGUAAGCGAAAUAGCUCCUACAGCUAGAAA